GUGCCAGCAGUCGCGGUUAUACAUAUAGGGCUAGUAUUAUACAUUUACGGUUUUAAGGGUACGCAGUAUGGUAUAGUAUAUAUUCUAGAGUACUAUAUAAUAUGGUAGUGUAAGAGUAUGAGAAAGUGUUAUAUCUGUAUAUACAUACUAGAAUACCAGUAUAUGAAAGUAGCUACCAUAUAUAGUACUGACAUUUAGGUACGAAAUUUACAGUAGCGAAAUGGGGUUGUCAGCCAUAUAGUUGUAGACGUAAACUAUGUAUGCUAAUAUUAUAACAUAUAUAUUUUUAUAUAGUAUUUUAUAAUAUAUAGUGAAAACGGUAAGCAUACCACCUUAGGAGUACUAUUACAUAUAGAAACUGAAAACAAUAGGCGGUCUAGAUUACUAACAGUGGUAUAUGUUAUUUAAU
This 409-nucleotide ribosomal RNA is filed under the name Diddensiella santjacobensis. RNAcentral's name for it is "partial small subunit ribosomal RNA". It matches the Rfam family "Bacterial small subunit ribosomal RNA", at positions 505 to 950 of the family's 1533-position model. The record is from RNAcentral. Lineage: Eukaryota; Fungi; Ascomycota; Dipodascomycetes; Dipodascales; Trichomonascaceae.